GCCGGAGUGGUGAAAUUGGUAGACACGCUGGAUUCAAAAUCCUGUGGGGGUGACCCCGUGAGAGUUCGAGUCUCUCCUCCGGCA
Molecule: transfer RNA, 84 nt
Filed under: Chlamydiota bacterium
Lineage: Bacteria; Pseudomonadati; Chlamydiota
Also listed under: 1 other name
Description: Chlamydiae bacterium tRNA-Leu
Rfam family: tRNA
About the family: Transfer RNA (tRNA) molecules are approximately 80 nucleotides in length. Their secondary structure includes four short double-helical elements and three loops (D, anti-codon, and T loops). Further hydrogen bonds mediate the characteristic L-shaped molecular structure. tRNAs have two regions of fundamental functional importance: the anti-codon, which is responsible for specific mRNA codon recognition, and the 3' end, to which the tRNAs corresponding amino acid is attached (by aminoacyl-tRNA synthetases). tRNAs cope with the degeneracy of the genetic code in two manners: having more than one tRNA (with a specific anti-codon) for a particular amino acid; and 'wobble' base-pairing, i.e. permitting non-standard base-pairing at the 3rd anti-codon position.
Source: RNAcentral